AUACUCCGCGUUUCUCUUCAAACCGUAUAAAUCUUUCGCCUUUUACUAAAGAUUUCCGUGGAGAGGAACAAGAACGAGUGCUAAGAAAUUUUUUUAGGCUUCAUUUCGGUGAGGCU
This 116-nucleotide small nuclear RNA is filed under the name Strix occidentalis caurina (northern spotted owl). RNAcentral's name for it is "U5 spliceosomal RNA (ENSSOCG00000003112.1)". It matches the Rfam family "U5 spliceosomal RNA". From Rfam's summary of the family: U5 RNA is a component of both types of known spliceosome. The precise function of this molecule is unknown, though it is known that the 5' loop is required for splice site selection and p220 binding, and that both the 3' stem-loop and the Sm site are important for Sm protein binding and cap methylation. Lineage: Eukaryota; Metazoa; Chordata; Aves; Strigiformes; Strigidae. The record is from Rfam by way of RNAcentral.